Molecule: long non-coding RNA, 1717 nt
Filed under: Mus spicilegus (steppe mouse)
Lineage: Eukaryota; Metazoa; Chordata; Mammalia; Rodentia; Muridae
Description: lncRNA (ENSMSIG00000006317.1)
Source: RNAcentral
CGGCCUCAAAAAAAAAAAAAGAAAGAAAGAAAGAAAGAAACAAACAAACAAACAAACAAACAAAUAAAUGGUAUCCAGUCAAAUGUUUCCAAAUUCAAGCGACAGAAGGGUAUAACAUGGUGAUUUUAAUCUCAACUAUAUUUUUCCCUUGCAUUUUGUAACAUGGCAAUCAUCACUGAGGGUGCUGGGCCUAGUUUUAGUAUCAUGAAAGAAGGUAAGUAGUCUGUUAAGAGACAGCAGAACCCACACAGUGAGAUGAGAGAACCUAUCUGGCAGGUUGUCCUCUCCUCACACUUAUACAGGAUUGCCCCUCCCCUUCCCUCCAUCCCUCUCUCUAUGCUAAAUAAAUGUAUUGUUAAAAGAAAGGGAGCUAUCACACAAUAAAUACAUGGAUUUUUAAAAGAGGGCCAAGGAAUAAACAGAAGGUAAACUAUAUAGUCGGCUAUAAUUUGACCAAGAAGAAGAGAAAAAAAAAUGAGAUGGUUAGAGUUUGGAUGUGCUUAAAAUGCAGGUUUUCAAAAAGGAACCCUCUAGACCUUGAACUGUCUUUAAACUGUGGAGACGUUUAAACUGCAAGGACUCUGAACACUGCCAUUACCUAGCUGUGUGACCUUGUGCAAGUCACUUAAUCUCUCUGGAGACUCAUUUUCCUCAUCUGUAAAAACAGGACUAAUAGUUACUGCUACAUAGGGAUUAAAUGAGAGAACACACUUAACAAACAGCACUCAGGUUGGCAAAAUGUCAUCCGGUAGAACUGAGCGGUCCUCUUACCACCCCCCUCCCCCAGAGCUACCUGUUUUCUAAAAGGACCCUUCGCUCAGAGACCCAGAGUCUCUAGCCUCCCGAAUGGAAUGGCCGCAGGCGAGCUGGGGCGGGCGAGGGGUAUGGGGGGGGGGAGCCAUGGUGCGCAGGCGCUCGCUCAAAAGAUAGGCAGGGUGCAAGGGGCGUGGCUGCCGCCGACUGGGCUGUUCCGACGAUCGCGCACCGCCCCCGCCGCUCCCCGCGCCCGCCCUUGCUACCAGGCACCUUCCGCCCCCCGCAUUGCUGAUGCUGCUGCUGGCAGACAUGGACGUGGUGAAUCAGCUGGUGGCUGGGGGUCAGUUCCGGGUGGUCAAGGAGCCCCUUGGCUUCGUGAAGGUGCUGCAGUGGGUGAGUGUGGUCCGGGCUAUAGGUGGGGGAAGUACAGGGGGAGAUGGUGGUGGUGAUGGGCUCCAGCAAAACAGAGGGGUGAGGCAGGAGGCGUCCUACUGAACUGGUGGGUGGAACGACAGGGGUGGAAGGAGAUGAGGGAAUUGGGCUCCAGAGUAAGGUCCCAGGGAUUUAAGGACAGGGAACAGAAGGCUAUGACGUCACAUAAGGCCGUGGGUACCCCUGUUGUGAAGUGACAGAGUGUGACAUUCUACCUCCUCUCUUGAACUAAAGGAGGAAAGGAUGGGAGGUGGAGCCUGAAGCCCUGACUGCUGAAAGAGAGAUGCAAAACCAGAAAAAUCCAGAGACAGCCAAGGAGACAGAGUAUGAGAGGCAGGGGACGGUGGUAAUGGCAGUGCUGAGUAAAAGAAAUGAGAGCCAGGGAGCUGCUCUCAGAGCAGGAAAAUGUGUAGGGGAAAGAAAGGCACACACAGAUAUAAGGAAUCUCAAAAGAGAAAACAGAAGGCAACAGACAGAAGGCACAAGGGAGCCAGAGAACCAGAGAGACCUUGUGAAAGACAGAACAGAC